GGCCCCAUCGUCUAGUGGUUAGGACAUCGGAUUUUCGUUCCGAUAACGCGGGUUCGAUUCCCGCUGGGGUCA
This 72-nucleotide transfer RNA is filed under the name Phycisphaerae bacterium. RNAcentral describes it as "tRNA-Glu". It matches the Rfam family "tRNA". From Rfam's summary of the family: Transfer RNA (tRNA) molecules are approximately 80 nucleotides in length. Their secondary structure includes four short double-helical elements and three loops (D, anti-codon, and T loops). The record is from RNAcentral. Lineage: Bacteria; Pseudomonadati; Planctomycetota; Phycisphaerae.